GAUGAACGCUGGCGGCGUGCCUAAUACAUGCGAGUCGAGCGAACGGACGAGAAGCUUGCUUUUCUGAUGUUAGCGGCGGACGGGUGAGUAACACGUGGAUAACCUACCUAUAAGACUGGGAUAACUUCGGGAAACCGGAGCUAAUACCGGAUAAUAUUUUGAACCGCAUGGUUCAAAAGUGAAAGACGGUCUUGCUGUCACUUAUAGAUGGAUCCGCGCUGCAUUAGCUAGUUGGUAAGGUAACGGCUUACCAAGGCAACGAUGCAUAGCCGACCUGAGAGGGUGAUCGGCCACACUGGAACUGAGACACGGUCCAGACUCCUACGGGAGGCAGCAGUAGGGAAUCUUCCGCAAUGGGCGAAAGCCUGAUGGAGCAACGCCGCGUGAGUGAUGAAGGUCUUCGGAUCGUAAAACUCUGUUAUUAGGGAAGAACAUCUGUGUAAGUAACUGUGCACAUCUUGACGGUACCUAAUCAGAAAGCCACGGCUAACUACGUG
RNAcentral lists this ribosomal RNA (497 nucleotides) under uncultured bacterium. RNAcentral's name for it is "partial 16S ribosomal RNA". It matches the Rfam family "Bacterial small subunit ribosomal RNA", at positions 28 to 507 of the family's 1533-position model. The record is from RNAcentral.